UACAGAGGUCUCAAGCGUUGUUCGGAUUCAUUGGGCGUAAAGGGUGUGUAGGUGGCGCCGUAAGUCGGGUGCGAAAUUUCGGAGCUUAACUCCGAAACUGCAUUCGAUACUGCGGUGCUUGAGGACUGGAGAGGAGACUGGAAUUCAUGGUGUAGCAGUGAAAUGCGUAGAGAUCAUGAGGAAGACCAGUGGCGAAGGCGGGUCUCUGGGCCGAUAUUGACGCUGAGGAGCGAAAGCGUGGGGAGCGAACAGG
This 253-nucleotide ribosomal RNA is filed under the name uncultured bacterium. RNAcentral's name for it is "partial 16S ribosomal RNA". It matches the Rfam family "Bacterial small subunit ribosomal RNA", at positions 524 to 776 of the family's 1533-position model. The record is from RNAcentral.